CCGGAAAGGUCUCUGACUGUGAAAUGCAGGCCUGGGGAUGCUGCAGAAGAAGUGGGCCGGCAAGGAGAGGCCUGGCUGCAAGGUAAGUGUGUGCGGGGAACGUGAGGCAGCUCUGCCCCCCACCUCCGCCCUAGCUUGAUUUUUAGGUGUGUGCCUCAUCCCAAAACUAGAGCUUAUUUUUGGGGUAGGACUUAUAUUAGGCCCAUGCCCAAAAAUCAAGCUAGGGCUUAUUUUGGGGGUAGAACUUACUUUUGGGAAAAUACGGUAUUUUAUUAUCUCAACAAACUUGGUAAUAAUUGUUCAAAGAUAUUCAAGAAAUUUCUGAACUAGUUCAGGCCACUUUAUUUAAAAAAAAAUAAUCCUAUCUUUUUAUCCUAACUCUAAAACAACAGAAUAAUAACAGCAACUGUCAUAGACAAAAAUGCUCUAGGAGAAAAAAUCCUGAAUAGUUAAAACUUGGCAAGAUUUGCUCUGAGUAUAUAUUUCAAUGUCACGGUUCUUAUUCAUGAUUUUCCUUUGAUAAUCAAAGAAAUGUUUUAAGAAAAUUGAGGUUAAAAUAAGUUUGUCGAUUCUCUAACACCCAAAAUCACUUUAUACACAAGAUAUCAUUUCUAUCUUUAAGUUUCUGUAGGAAAACUAUAUGAGGCAAUUUCUUGGCAGCAAGCUAAUGUCUUAGAGUUUAGUUCUAGUUUACUAGCAGAAGGCAGUCUUUCUAUAUGUAUUGAAAACACAAUAUAAACCACUGCUUACCUUUUCUCUGAUGUUUUGUUAAGUAUGUUAUCUAAAUCUCUAAAACAGACUCCCUAGACUGACAGCAACCAAAAAUGUUUAUUUCAUGAGGAAUGCUGGCAGAUUCCAUUGUAGAAUGCACCUAAGUCUUAGUUUUAGGUCCCUCUUUAAUAGCUGGAGACUUAUACUAUAAUAAAGAGAACAGUGGCUUCAGGAAUUCAAGACAAAGAUAUAGGUCAACUAAAGAAUGUUCCCACAUUUUACUACUUAUUUUAUAUGUUUCAGGGCAUCCAGUGAUGUGAGAAAUAUAUGAUAAAUCAUUCAACUGAAAUAGGAGAGGAAGCGUUUGUCUGCUAACCCAUCUAAUUGGGUAAUGCCUUGUUAUGAAUGCCAAUGAGUACAACACAGGACAUUUGCUACUGUUAUUAUUAUAAGUAUGGCCCUGAAUCUGAGAGGUCUGGACUGAUGUCUGAUGGCCCAAAUCUAGCAUCACUGCUCAUAUAGGCAUAUAUUUGACAUGCUGAAGUUCCCAGGAAUCAAAAGAAGUGACUUGGAGUGAAGUAAAAGAGAGAAGGUCAAUUCUUAGAAGAUAUUGUGUGACCCAGGACACUGAUGGAUCAUAGUCCAGUUUGGAUGGAAUUGGUCGAUGAAAAAGAGGAGA
Long non-coding RNA from Crotalus tigris (Tiger rattlesnake), 1390 nucleotides. RefSeq lists it as uncharacterized. The record is from RefSeq and is a predicted model, not a curated record. The transcript is spliced from 3 exons. NCBI's taxonomy places the organism in Eukaryota, Metazoa, Chordata, Lepidosauria, Squamata, Viperidae.